RNAcentral lists this small nuclear RNA (75 nucleotides) under Colobus angolensis palliatus. Lineage: Eukaryota; Metazoa; Chordata; Mammalia; Primates; Cercopithecidae. The record is from RNAcentral.
GCAUUUUAAGCAGCACAUAUACUAAAAUUGGAAUGAUACAGAGAAGAUUAGCAUGGCCCUUACCCAAGGAUGAAA